This 29-nucleotide small RNA is filed under the name Bombyx mori (domestic silkworm). Its description in RNAcentral is "ovarian small RNA-10937". Lineage: Eukaryota; Metazoa; Arthropoda; Insecta; Lepidoptera; Bombycidae. The record is from RNAcentral.
ACAACUGGUGAUCGAGCAAAAUUUGCUGC